This is a transfer RNA of Gorilla gorilla gorilla (western lowland gorilla), 72 nucleotides long. It matches the Rfam family "tRNA". Rfam says of the family: Transfer RNA (tRNA) molecules are approximately 80 nucleotides in length. Their secondary structure includes four short double-helical elements and three loops (D, anti-codon, and T loops). NCBI's taxonomy places the organism in Eukaryota, Metazoa, Chordata, Mammalia, Primates, Hominidae. The record is from Rfam.
GGGGGUGUAGCUCAGUGGUAGAGCGGAUGCUUUGCAUGUAUGAGGCUUUGGGUUCGAUCCCCAGCACCUCCA